This 631-nucleotide ribosomal RNA is filed under the name Bacillus subtilis subsp. subtilis. RNAcentral describes it as "bacterial SSU rRNA". It matches the Rfam family "Bacterial small subunit ribosomal RNA", at positions 57 to 671 of the family's 1533-position model. Lineage: Bacteria; Bacillati; Bacillota; Bacilli; Caryophanales; Bacillaceae. The record is from RNAcentral.
GCAGUCGAGCGGACAGAUGGGAGCUUGCUCCCUGAUGUUAGCGGCGGACGGGUGAGUAACACGUGGGUAACCUGCCUGUAAGACUGGGAUAACUCCGGGAAACCGGGGCUAAUACCGGAUGGUUGUCUGAACCGCAUGGUUCAGACAUAAAAGGUGGCUUCGGCUACCACUUACAGAUGGACCCGCGGCGCAUUAGCUAGUUGGUGAGGUAACGGCUCACCAAGGCGACGAUGCGUAGCCGACCUGAGAGGGUGAUCGGCCACACUGGGACUGAGACACGGCCCAGACUCCUACGGGAGGCAGCAGUAGGGAAUCUUCCGCAAUGGACGAAAGUCUGACGGAGCAACGCCGCGUGAGUGAUGAAGGUUUUCGGAUCGUAAAGCUCUGUUGUUAGGGAAGAACAAGUGCCGUUCAAAUAGGGCGGCACCUUGACGGUACCUAACCAGAAAGCCACGGCUAACUACGUGCCAGCAGCCGCGGUAAUACGUAGGUGGCAAGCGUUGUCCGGAAUUAUUGGGCGUAAAGGGCUCGCAGGCGGUUUCUUAAGUCUGAUGUGAAAGCCCCCGGCUCAACCGGGGAGGGUCAUUGGAAACUGGGGAACUUGAGUGCAGAAGAGGAGAGUGGAAUUCCA